CUUUGUUGCCCAGGUUAGUCUUGAACUGCUGGCUUCAAGCGAUCCUCCCUCUUCAGCCUCUCCAAGUGCUGGGAUUACAGGUGUGAGCCACCUGUAAUCAAAGUGGAAAUAAUUUUAAACUUGUAAAAGGUUGUAAAAAAUUUGCAAUGUUCUACAAAAGCUUGGAAAAAUGAUAAUCUUAUAAAAUUAGAUUAACUAAUUAUUAACAUUUUAUCGCAUUUAUUAUAUUAUUUGUUCUCUUUCUCUCUCUCUGUCUGUCCAUACACACAGUUCUUUUUCUGAAAGUAAGUUUCACGCAUCAUGUCCUUUAUCCCUAAAGAUUUUAGUGUGUAUUUGUGUAUAAAUAUUUAUAUAUAUUUGUGUAUUUUCUGAAAGUAAGUUUCACACAUCAAAGUCCUUUACCCCUAAUCAUUUUAGUGUGUAUUUGUUCUCUCUCUCUUUCUCUGUCUCUCUGUACACACAAUUCUUUUUCUGAAGUAAGUUUCACAAACAUUUUGGUGUUUAUUUUCUAAGAAUAUGGAUUUUUAUCUUAUACAAUCAAUUUGAGUUAUCUUCAUAAAUGAAUAUUGAUAACAUAUUUGCAUCUAAUCUAUCAUCCAUGCUUCAGAUUUGUCAGUUGAUCUAAUGAUGCUCUUCAGAGCAUUGUUUUUCUUUCAGUGUAAGAUUCAGUCUAGUUGCAGAUACUGCAUUUUAUUGUCAGGUGUCUACAGCCUUCUUUUAUCUGGAACAUUUUCAUGACCUUUCUGUGAUUUUUAUAACCUUGCAAUUUUGAAGAACACAAACCUCCACCUUUUUAAUAUAAUGUUCCUCAUUUUGUGUCUGUCUGAUGUUUCCUCAUGAUCAGGUUGAGCCUCUGCAUUCUGAUUUAGAAUACUGCACGGGCGAUGUUGUGACCAUCUCAGGGUGCCACAUUUGGGGCUACACCAUGUCCAUCUAUUCCUCUUUGGUGAUGUUAAUUUGAUCACCCAAUCAAGGUGUAACCCCAUUUCUCCACUGUGUAAUGACUGUUUUAUUUUUUGGUUGCAACUAACAAGCAUUCUGUGAUGGAUGGUUCAAGACCAUCUCAGCAUCCAGCUGCAGACCCACUUUUGACUCUGGUAAAAUAGCUGGCCACCUGUGUACGUGAUUUCAGGAGCACAAGAAAGACACAAAACUUCCAGAAAAAUAUAUAUCCCCUCCAUUUUUAACAUACCAUUGGAUGGUCAUUCCAAUAAUUUUGUCUUCUACUAACAUGUGUAUAUUCCUGAUUUUUAAAAAAUCAUGUGCUUUAUGUAUGUAAAAUACAUGUGCUUUGUAUUUUACAUAAGUUAUUGUUAUUUCACUUCUUCAACAAAUAUUCGUUGAUUGCCUCCCAUGUGUCAAACACCACUCUGGACACUGAGAAGGUAGCAUUAAAGACACAGAGGUCCUAAACUUAGGAGUUUACAUUCUAGAUAAGGUGUAAGUGAAAAGUAGGAGUUACCAUGCCUGAGUGACGAUGCAGGACUUAAGCUCAAGGUCAAGUGACUGGCCAGGUCACUUGCAUGUGAAAGGCUAGGCCCUGCUUGCCCACUGCAGCAUACUGCCUUUUCAUGCUGUAGACCAGGGGCAACGCUGAGUCCUGUCAUGCUUUCAAGCCUUAGUGGUGUCUGAUUCCAUCAAACCUUUUCUUCAGAGCAGAUCUUGGCAGAAGAAAAGCCAUGAUACUUCUGUGUGCAUGAGCAAUGCUUCCAGUAAUGUGAAAGAGGAUGGAAGGAACAAGGGAGGGGUAUAUACUAGAUACAGACUGAGCCCAGUUCAUAGUUUUAUCUAGGUCUAGUUUGCAUCCUAUUUUUUAAUUUCAUAGCAAUAUAUGCACUGAUUUGCUAACUCCCCAAUUCCAGUGGCUAUUAGGAAUUGCUACUGUUAUUAAGCAUUUUGGUGGCUUGGAAAGGAAUGUUUAAAUUACCUUAAUAUCAGUCCAAGACUAUUUUAUAUAGAGCUUCCUCCCAUUUUCCCAUCAGCAAAGGUGAACUAUAUCUUUGCAGUCAGUUCUAGAUUUUCAAAAUUGAUUUCUGUUUAUUGAUCUCCUCUUUAUUUCUCCUGUUGUUUGCGUUUCUCAUUGCAUAGCACAAAUACUUAGGAUUCUCACUUGAAAUGGGACCUGACUCAGUGCCUGGCACGCAGUCAGUAGUUAGUGAGGAUUCCUGGAAGGGCGGGAAGAAGAAAGGGAAAGAGAUAGGAAAUUAGAUGAUAAGGAUUAGGGUUUGGUAAGCGAAAUUUCAUUGUACUGCUUAUUUGAUGUACAGAUCUCUGGGUCUUAACUAAUAGCUGCAAACACUCCAUUGUUUAGGUAAAGUGUAUAUUAUGUUCUUCUAAAUUCAUUUCCUUGUGCUUGUCUAAAUUGAAAACCAUCUGAUACUUUUCCACAGGCUCAUAAAGCUUCAUGGGUUCUUCCUGAAGUUUAGCCAUGCUUGCUACCAUUAUAUUAUGUGGAAAAGACUAUAUCCUCCUAAAGUAGGAAACUUGACUUCCAAGUCAUAUAUCAAUCAUUCGGUCAGUUGGGCCAGCCCAGCUUCCCUCUAAUGAUGAGUCUGUUUUUUCCAUCAGCCAAGGCCAUUAAGCUGGUAGGCAUUGAGCUGCAGCUCUGCACAGGAGCUGUGCUCAGUGCUGUGAGGGCCUCCUAGCCAGCUACUGCACAAUUGCCUCCAGAAUGAACUUUCUGCUCUAACUGGGCAGAUUGUAUUACUCCUCUGUACUCACAGAAUAUACCAGGUCCAACCUUACUUAGCACCUUUAUUUUAGCAUGCUACUUAAAAUGAGUUUGAACUUUCACUCUGAGUUUUAAAAAGGUAUAUACACCUGUGUCCAUAAUUUUGGGAGUCCCUAGAAGAUAGAAAACCUCAAGAAAAAAAAGAGAUACUUUUAUUCUGUCUCCAACUUACACUGUUUUGUUCUAUUUUAAUGUAGGUUCUUUUUUUUUCUUUUUUUGGUUGAAAGAGGAGUAUUUGGUAUAAGGAAUUCUCACUCCUUGUCUUCCUUCUCUAGAGCAAUUCUCUGUCCUUGGCAGACACGUCUCUAUGAUUUUAAAAAGCUGAUAUAAAAAGGAAGUCACAAGGAAAAGAAAAGAAAGUAGGAAAUUCAUAGGGCUAGUGAUAAGGAUUCUGCAGAGCUAAAAUAUGAUCCUUACUUACGAUUUAGCUAUUUUGAUAUUCUUUCUUCUGUCUCAUUCAAGCAGAAAGUAACACCUUUCAGUGUAGUCCUGUAUUAAUUUAUUUAGCUAGUAUUUGUUGAGUGCCUGUGCUAGAUUCAGCCUUGUUUUUGUGUAGAGGACUGGAAGAUGAAGGCUAUGAAGUUGUCCUCACUUUAAAGAUUUUUUUUUUUUAUUGUGGGGUAAAGAAGAUUUAGAUGUUGAAAAAUUUAGAGAAGAACAUAGGAUGGUCUGCAGUCCUGAGCUUGUUUUAGGUGCUCAGGGACACUGGGGAAGGAGUAGAGUUUAAGGAGAGGAAAGUAAACUGAGACUUUGGGCAUUUUGGGGUUUGGCCCUGCAGCCAGGAGGCUGUGUUAAGCAAGACAACGUGGCUUUAGGGAAUCAGCUCAGUGUGGGAGCCACGUGGAAAGAGGAGGCCAGGAUUAUGAAGCCGUUUGUCAUUGGUGGCACAUCAUGUGAUCUGACUUUAAACAUGCUUUAGAUGACUGCCCACAUCAAGUGUGGGUGGAGAAUUGCAAAUUGCAUGGCUUAUACAUAAAUAACAUUGAAUGGGGAAGGGCCUUGGAGUCGAUAGAACACACUAGAGGAAAGAAUUGCUUAUAGAAUGAAUCACACCUGAAGUUACUUGUUAGCAGUUCUAGCAAAGCCAUUUACUUGAGUAAGGACAUUAGUGACAUUUUAUUCUAAAAAUACGGUUUUCCCUUGGAUUUGUGUCAAAGGUGGGAAGAUUUUUAAAUAGCACUCCUCAGCAAUGAAUAGGAACAGGUAUCUUAAAUGUAUAAUAAUUUGGUGGCCUGUAUGAAGGUGUUUAUAUGAGCUAAUGCCCAAGUGUUUAUUAGGGAGGAUCAGGGGCGUCUUGACUACCCUCUAAAGAAGGCAGGUCUGGGUAAGAAACUAGAGUGUGUCCCUUGUGGGCCCCUUGUUUCUGUGUGUCUCUUUCAUGCCGGUUUUACAGGAUUUUGCUCUCAGCCACUGUUCUUCAACUUUUUCACUGUCUCUCUGGACCAUCUGGCCACCCUCACGGACUCAGGCACCCCAUAAAUAAUAAUGACUUUGAAACCUGUAGCUGAUGCCCUAAGUUCUCCCUUGUACCCCAUCAUUCCCACUGGAAAUCAUGAUGUCAUCUUGACUUUUCUCCACGACCAGUUAUAAAUCCUGCACAAUUUAUGACAGAAAAAAUUCCUAAUUUUUUCACUUAACCAGUAGUUGCCAAAGCAAUCUGAUGUUGAACUGACAACAUAUUUGCUCAGUUAAUUUGGGGUCCAGAUGUGUAUUCAUUGAAAGCUCCCAAUGUGAUUCUGCAUAUUUAGGGAGUACUACCUUAAACCAUUUCUAAAAACCAUAGUUAAAAUGAGAAUGGUAACCAGCAGGCAGCUUUAUAACCUAACAAAGUAAGCUGACAUCCACAGAUGUUUUGGAGUGAAUUCUUUGCUCUGGGAAAUUCUUUAUCUUGGUUUGUGCAACACUUAGAUGUAUUUUUCUAUGAAUACAACUGCAUGUUUUCAGAACAUAUGAGUAUUGUCUACUUAGCUACUGAACACACUAA
Molecule: long non-coding RNA, 4715 nt
Organism: Sapajus apella (tufted capuchin)
Lineage: Eukaryota; Metazoa; Chordata; Mammalia; Primates; Cebidae
Exons: 2
Source: RefSeq, a predicted model, not a curated record